AAGAAGAGCCUUUCACCUCUAGCCAUGAUUCUGAGAACUUCCCAGCCAUGUGGAACUAUCCAUCUACAAGUAUAUUUUUUCAUUACAAAUAAUUCAAGAAAAAGAAAUCAUUGAAGAUAAAUGAAACAUUGUAUUACAUUUUAUGCCAGAUUCAGCUUCUUGAGAGCAGUGUCUGUUUCUUACUUUGUUGCAAAUGUACAUUCACCAAUCAGGCACUUGUUAAAAAGUGCUUGAAACGGCAAAUAAUAAAGACGACUACUUUUCAGAUAUUGUAUCUCAGCAGAGAUGCUGAAAAAAGAAAGAGAGAAGAAUGAGGUCUUUGCAGAAAGAUUGGAAGAUGAAGAGGAGAUAAGUAGAGAAAGAAAGCACCAGGAUGGAAAAAUAUGGGUCUUGCCUUCACCAAAUGAACUUGUGUUUCAAAACA
Long non-coding RNA from Homo sapiens (human), 424 nucleotides. Ensembl annotates it as ZNF385D antisense RNA 2. Its record names the gene ZNF385D-AS2. The record is from Ensembl. Lineage: Eukaryota; Metazoa; Chordata; Mammalia; Primates; Hominidae.